This 212-nucleotide long non-coding RNA is filed under the name Nicotiana benthamiana. RNAcentral's name for it is "long non-coding RNA (NBEN_LNC000395)". The record is from RNAcentral. Lineage: Eukaryota; Viridiplantae; Streptophyta; Magnoliopsida; Solanales; Solanaceae.
CUAUCACCAGAAUCUCUUGCUUCGGAAGAUGACGUACUAUUAUACGUCAUUGGUGAUGAUGGAGAUGAUGAAAUAUUAGAGCAAGAAGCUGAAGAAGUCACCGGAAAACUUACGGGCAUCUCUUCAUGUUCUAUAGCUGGUGAAGGAGAAUCUCCAAGAACACCACCGGGACUGUAGUAGGAAGAGAUUUCAUCAAAUACUACAUCCCGAGA